This is a long non-coding RNA of Vidua chalybeata, 1439 nucleotides long. RefSeq lists it as uncharacterized. NCBI's taxonomy places the organism in Eukaryota, Metazoa, Chordata, Aves, Passeriformes, Viduidae. The record is from RefSeq and is a predicted model, not a curated record. The transcript is spliced from 3 exons.
UUAAACAACUCAGUAUUCGGCUGUCUCCUGGAUUUAUUGCAACAAGUGUCUUUUAAGAAAGACUUCAGGGUGAUGGGACAUUGCUCACAGGAUGCAGAGAAAGAACAUCAAAACUCAUGAACAGACGAGAUGUUGCAUCCUUUUACGAGGACAUCAGUGACCAACUGCUUCUGCUGCCUAAGCUGUUCUGUUGGUGCAGGUUCUUGCACCUGAGCAGCACUGGGAACCACCUACGCUGCCUCUGAUGAACUCACCAGUCAAGCUGUUGACUCCAAAACAUCCUCUGGUCUCAGGAUUCCCUUCUGGCAGCACAAGACCUGAGCUCACAUUAUUGGGCAAAGACAAAACAGGAACCCAGCUUAAAAUAGUAGAUGAUGCCAUACAGAUUGUCUGGAUUUUAUUUUUAACUGGGUCAACCAUGUGCCAGUGGAAGUGAUGACUGAGAUGUCCAUUUAAAGUCAUAAAGUGAUCUGGGCUUGCUGGUGAGGACCAUCUCCCUCCAGGCUGUGCCAGGGUAACCCAGCCCAGAGCUACUUCCAAGCCUGACCUUCCAUUCUUUCUCUUAAUAUCUCUCUGUAUCUUUGACCAUAUCUGCUAUUACCUUUGCAGUGUGCCUCAGUCCCAGCUCACCCCUUCUGCCUGCUCUUCCUGUCCUGUCUGUCUCCCAAAUCCCCUCUUCUCCCUCCUGCUAAUUCUUCAUAGCACACAACUACAGGAAGGCAUUUCCAAUCCCACUGCAGAGAUGUUUGGAAAAAAAUAAUUCCCAGUGAUUUCAUCUGCAGCACUAUGGGUCGCUUGGAGAUGAAACUGAAACAUUCUAAUCCUCAACGGGAAAUUAUCAAGCCUGGUGAAGAAAAAGCAGAUGUGUACGGCACUUAGAGUGCACCUGGGCUCUCUUCGUUAGGAAAGCAACAGGCUUAUGCUCUUUUUCAAUGAAAAUAAAGUAGGUAUCCUUUCUUCAGACAACAGAUAUUAAACUGUGGUGAUUGAAGGAAACCAUCGUUUUUACUUGCAGGAAUAGAUAAUUUGCACUAGAGUAUUUAAAUAAUUAAUUGUCCAAGGAUAUCUCAGAAGACUAAUUAAUAUAUUUUUUUAAGAGAAAGUGGGACACCAAGAAACUCUAGAGGUUUGAUAAGAAAUUGUUAACAGUUUAAAAUUCAGUUGGGACAGGACAAGGUGAGUCUGGCACUGAUCUUAUCAAAAUCACAGAGAGGCUGCUAUGGGACACUAUCCAAAAGGAAUGAAGAAAUUGUAAUAUUAAGAUGAAAAUUAUGCUGCCAUAAAUAGCUUGUGACUGAUUUCUGAUUAUUUCCUUUAUUUUCAAGACUACAGGGUGGAUGGUUAGAGAUAAUUGUGUAGACAUGAUUCUUUUAGUACUCCCCAAAGAAUGUAAUCCUGUGUGACCUGUUUUUAUAUCUGAAAAAUCAAUAAACAAUGCU